This 1963-nucleotide small RNA is filed under the name Pongo abelii (Sumatran orangutan). RNAcentral's name for it is "retained intron". Lineage: Eukaryota; Metazoa; Chordata; Mammalia; Primates; Hominidae. The record is from RNAcentral.
UUUUUAAUUAUCAUUAUAAAAGUUAAACACUUUCUUGUUUGAUUAAUAACACUUCAGGAGGUGGGGUGUGGUGGUGCACACUUGUAAUCCUAGCUUGGGAGGCCAAGGCAGGAGGAUGGCUUGAGCCCAGGAGUUCGAGGUCAGCCCAGGUAACAUAUUAAGACCCCACCUCUAAAAAAUCAAACAAACAAACAGAACACUUCAAGAUAGUAGGCUGGGUGCAAUGGCUCACGCCUGUAAUCCCUGUAUUUUGGGAGACUGAGGCAGGCAGAUCACUUGAGGUCAGGAGUUCGAGACCAGCCUGGCCAACAUGGUGAAACCCCGUCUCUACUAAAAAUACAAAAAAUUAGCCUGACGUGAUGGUGCACGCCUAUAGUCCCAGCUAUUUGGGAGGCUGAUGCAGGAGAAUUGCUUGAACCUGGGAGGCGGAGUGAGCCAAGAUUGUGCCAUUGCACUCUAGCCUGGGUGACAAAGCGAGACUCAAUCUCAAGAGAAAAAAAAACAAAACAAAAAGAUAGCAUAUGUAGUCAAACCAGAGACUGUCAGAAACUUUAGGUAUAUUUUUAUCAGUGGAGCUUUUCCUUAAUGGAAAUCCAUUUUCAAAGUUAAAUUCUUGUCCUUAUCAUAAUAAGGAAAAACUCAUGGGACCUAAAGUCAGUCACCCAGAUUCUCGAACUGCUUUGAGAAGUGAAAGCAUCUUAGGAGACUUUUUAGUCAUGCAGAAGAGGUGGAAAACUUGAGAUGGAAAGCUUUUCAGGAGGUGGAUUUUGUCCUACUGGUUGUUAUUAAAAUGAUUCUUUUUUCAAUUCCCAGUUCAACUUUAGUUGGCUUACCACGAGUGAAGCGUGACAAGUACUCAGUCUUCAACUUUCUGACGCUCCCAGAGACAGCUUCCUUGUCCACCACUCAAGCAUCAAGUGAAAAAGUAUCACAGCACCGAGGUCCCGACAAAUCAAGAAAACCAUCCAGAUGGGAUACCUCUAAACACGAAAAGAAAGAAGAUUCCAUUAGUGAAUUUUUAAGUUUGGCUAGAUCAAAAGCCGGGCCACCUAAACAAGAGUCCAGCCCCUUAGUAAACAAAGAGGAAGAGUGUGCACCAGAAUCAUCCGCAAAUCAGACAGUCAACAAAGGUGUGGACGCACAGGCUGAAGGAGAAGGGAGCCGCCCAUCCAUGGACUUAUUCAGGGCCAUCUUUGCCAGUUCCUCAGAUGAAAAGUCCUCAUCCUCCGAGGAUGAGCAAGAUGACAGCGAAGAUGAUCAGGCGGGCUCUGGGGAGGCCAACUUCCAAAGCUCCCAAGACACUGACUUGGGGGAAACAUCAUCCAUGGCUCGCACUCUCGUACCAGCACCCCAGGAGCCACCACCUUCCUUCCCAAUACAAAAGAUGCAGAUAGAUGAAAGAGAAGAGUUCGGCCCGCGGCUGCCUCCCGUCUUCUGCCCCAAUGCUCGUCAGACACUUGAGGUUCCUCAAAAAGAGAAACAUAAAAAGAAUAAAGACAAGCACAAGGCCAAGAAAGAGCACAGGCGGAAGAAAGAGAAGAAAAAGAAACACAGGAAGCACAAACACAAAGGCAAGCAAAAGAAUAAAAAAACAGAGAAAAGUAGUAGCUCCGAGAGUUCCGACAGCAGCGACAGCCAGAGUGAUGAGGAAACUGCAGAUGUGUCACCCCAGGAGCUGCUGAGACGGCUGAAAAGUCUUCCGCUAAGAAGGCAGUAAUUGAAUGCUGCCCUGGCUUGUCCUAGAAUCAUUUCUCCUCCAUGAUGGAAGCCCAGUGAUUGUUCAGUUAACGUGUUGUACAGAGUGUAUUUAUAUGUAAAUUCCUGCUGUAAAAUAAUUUUUAAAACCUUGACAUUUCAAAGACUGCCUUGAAAGGUCGCAGAAAUUGAUUUCUAUUUUUAAUUUCAGUUAGUGUCGGGGGAAAAAAAUCCAGACUGAACAGUUUAAUUAAAGUGGAAUUUUUCU